This 253-nucleotide ribosomal RNA is filed under the name uncultured bacterium. RNAcentral's name for it is "partial 16S ribosomal RNA". It matches the Rfam family "Bacterial small subunit ribosomal RNA", at positions 524 to 776 of the family's 1533-position model. The record is from RNAcentral.
UACGAGGGGUGCAAGCGUUGCUCGGAAUUAUUGGGCGUAAAGGGUAGGUAGGUGGUCUCAUUUGUCUGGGGUGAAAGCCUUGAGCUUAACUCAAGAAGUGCCCCAGAAACGGUGAGACUCGAGUCUUGGAGAGGGAUGUGGAAUUCCAGGUGUAGCGGUGAAAUGCGUAGAUAUCUGGAGGAACACCGGUGGCGAAGGCGGCAUCCUGGACCAACACUGACGCUGAGGCGCGAAAGCUAGGGGAGCAAACGGG